GGCCUAACACAUGCAAGUCGAGCGGUAGAGAGAAGCUUGCUUCUCUUGAGAGCGGCGGACGGGUGAGUAAUGCCUAGGAAUCUGCCUGGUAGUGGGGGAUAACGUUCGGAAACGGACGCUAAUACCGCAUACGUCCUACGGGAGAAAGCAGGGGACCUUCGGGCCUUGCGCUAUCAGAUGAGCCUAGGUCGGAUUAGCUAGUUGGUGAGGUAAUGGCUCACCAAGGCGACGAUCCGUAACUGGUCUGAGAGGAUGAUCAGUCACACUGGAACUGAGACACGGUCCAGACUCCUACGGGAGGCAGCAGUGGGGAAUAUUGGACAAUGGGCGAAAGCCUGAUCCAGCCAUGCCGCGUGUGUGAAGAAGGUCUUCGGAUUGUAAAGCACUUUAAGUUGGGAGGAAGGGUUGUAGGUUAAUACUCUGCAAUUUUGACGUUACCGACAGAAUAAGCACCGGCUAACUCUGUGCCAGCAGCCGCGGUAAUACAGAGGGUGCAAGCGUUAAUCGGAAUUACUGGGCGUAAAGCGCGCGUAGGUGGUUUGUUAAGUUGGAUGUGAAAUCCCCGGGCUCAACCUGGGAACUGCAUUCAAAACUGACUGACUAGAGUAUGGUAGAGGGUGGUGGAAUUUCCUGUGUAGCGGUGAAAUGCGUAGAUAUAGGAAGGAACACCAGUGGCGAAGGCGACCACCUGGACUAAUACUGACACUGAGGUGCGAAAGCGUGGGGAGCAAACAGGAUCAGAUACCCUGGUAGUCCACGCCGUAAACGAUGUCAACUAGCCGUUGGAAGCCUUGAGCUUUUAGUGGCGCAGCUAACGCAUUAAGUUGACCGCCUGGGGAGUACGGCCGCAAGGUUAAAACUCAAAGGAAUUGACGG
Molecule: ribosomal RNA, 876 nt
Filed under: uncultured Pseudomonas sp.
Lineage: Bacteria; Pseudomonadati; Pseudomonadota; Gammaproteobacteria; Pseudomonadales; Pseudomonadaceae
Description: bacterial SSU rRNA
Rfam family: Bacterial small subunit ribosomal RNA
Source: RNAcentral